RNAcentral lists this ribosomal RNA (240 nucleotides) under uncultured bacterium. Its description in RNAcentral is "partial 16S ribosomal RNA". It matches the Rfam family "Bacterial small subunit ribosomal RNA", at positions 95 to 334 of the family's 1533-position model. The record is from RNAcentral.
CCGGCGCACGGUGAGUAACACGUAUCCAACCUGCCGUCUACUCUUGGCCAGCCUUCUGAAAGGAAGAUUAAUCCAGGAUGGGAUCAUGAGUUCACAUGUCCGCAUGAUUAAAGGUAUUUUCCGGUAGACGAUGGGGAUGCGUUCCAUUAGAUAGUAGGCGGGGUAACGGCCCACCUAGUCAACGAUGGAUAGGGGUUCUGAGAGGAAGGUCCCCCACAUUGGAACUGAGACACGGUCCAA